UACGUAGGGGGCAAGCGUUGUCCGGAUUUAUUGGGCGUAAAGAGCGUGUAGGCGGCCACACAGGUCAGCUGUGAAAACUCGAGGCUCAACCUCGAGACGUCGGUUGAAACCGUAUGGCUAGAGUCCGGAAGAGGAGAGUGGAAUUCCCGGUGGUAGCGGUGAAAUGCGUAGAUAUCGGGAGGAACACCUGUGGCGAAAGCGGCUCACUGGACCACAACUGACGCUGAGGCGCGGAAAGCUAGGGGAGCAAACAGG
Molecule: ribosomal RNA, 255 nt
Filed under: uncultured bacterium
Lineage: Bacteria
Description: partial 16S ribosomal RNA
Rfam family: Bacterial small subunit ribosomal RNA
Source: RNAcentral